RNAcentral lists this transfer RNA (77 nucleotides) under Deltaproteobacteria bacterium. RNAcentral's name for it is "tRNA-Arg". It matches the Rfam family "tRNA". From Rfam's summary of the family: Transfer RNA (tRNA) molecules are approximately 80 nucleotides in length. Their secondary structure includes four short double-helical elements and three loops (D, anti-codon, and T loops). The record is from RNAcentral. Lineage: Bacteria; Pseudomonadati; Myxococcota; Myxococcia. RNAcentral also lists the same sequence under 1 other name.
GCCCCCGUAGCUCAGGUGGAUAGAGCAAGGGAUUCCUAAUCCCUGCGCCCCGUGUUCGAGUCACGGCGGGGGCACCA